RNAcentral lists this ribosomal RNA (520 nucleotides) under uncultured bacterium. Its description in RNAcentral is "partial 16S ribosomal RNA". It matches the Rfam family "Bacterial small subunit ribosomal RNA", at positions 28 to 507 of the family's 1533-position model. The record is from RNAcentral.
GACGAACGCUGGCGGCGUGCCUAAUACAUGCAAGUCGAACGCACUCUCGUUUAGAUUGAAGGAGUUUGCUCCUGAUUGAUAAACAUUUGAGUGAGUGGCGGACGGGUGAGUAACACGUGGGUAACCUGCCCUAAAGUGGGGGAUAACAUUUGGAAACAGAUGCUAAUACCGCAUAAAACCUAACACCGCAUGGUGUAGGGUUGAAAGAUGGUUUCGGCUAUCACUUUAGGAUGGACCCGCGGUGCAUUAGUUAGUUGGUGAGGUAAAGGCUCACCAAGACCGUGAUGCAUAGCCGACCUGAGAGGGUAAUCGGCCACACUGGGACUGAGACACGGCCCAGACUCCUACGGGAGGCAGCAGUAGGGAAUCUUCCACAAUGGACGAAAGUCUGAUGGAGCAACGCCGCGUGAGUGAAGAAGGUUUUCGGAUCGUAAAACUCUGUUGUUGGAGAAGAAUGUAUCUGAUAGUAACUGAUCAGGUAGUGACGGUAUCUAACCAGAAAGCCACGGCUAACUACGUG